This is an RNA transcript of Rhinolophus ferrumequinum (greater horseshoe bat), 4101 nucleotides long. It is a transcript of the gene named IQ motif containing K, with no coding region annotated. Lineage: Eukaryota; Metazoa; Chordata; Mammalia; Chiroptera; Rhinolophidae. The transcript is spliced from 12 exons. The record is from RefSeq and is a predicted model, not a curated record.
UCCGGCUUCUUCCGGGUCGCGGCAGCGCGGUUGCCAUGGAAACCGAGGCCAUGGCGGCGCCCGGGCUGCUGGGCGGCCUCAUAGCCCAGCAGGAGGAGCGCGCCAGCUCCGGAGAGUCGUCUGUCACCCCCAGGACACCAGUGCCCACUGUGUCCCCCGUGUCCCCCGAGCAGCCCGUGUCGCCGGUGCAGGUUGCGGAGCCUUCGGGCAAGAAUCUGUGGGAGCAGAUCUGCGAGGAGUAUGAAGCUGAGCUGCCUCCCUUUCCAGGAUACAAAGUCCAACCAGACGCUGCGACUGCUGUUUCACCACUGGAAGAAAUAGUUUUCCAUCGCAUCAAAACAGAGCACAUGUAUUCAGUUCCUCACAUGACCACGGACUCACCUACAUCUUGCACGCAAGUGAAAUUGGAAACAGUCGAUCCGAAAACAUGUUCCCCCAGAGACUUUCUGGAAACGUUCAUCUUUCCAGUUCUGCUUCCCGGCAUGGUCAGCCUGCUUCACCAGGCGGACAAAGAGAAAUGUUUUGAGAGGAAAAGAACCAAAUUCAUUGCCUGUGAUUUUCUGACUGAGUGGUUAUACAAUCAAAAUCCAAAGAGGACAGGGGCGCCCUUCACCGAAUUCUUCUCUAUUCCGUUUGUGAAGCAGUGGCUGAAGCAACACCCGCGGCCACCAGUCCCGCUGUCCCUCCUGCUGACAGAAGUGGAAGCAGUUCUGCGCAUUCAGGCCUUCUGGAGAGCUUAUCAGGUUCGCUGUGACUCUGAGAUUCAAGAACUGCGUCAGUGGCAGAAGAAACUGCGCGAGGAGCAGCACAUUCGCCAGAGAGUCAAAAUGUUCUGGGCCAGACAAGAGCAGAAAGAGAGAAAAACUGCGGUGCAGAGAGGUAAUCUACUCAAAGCCACCCGUCCAGGAAGUGGCGGAAGCAGGAUCUGAACCCAGACGUCUGCCUCGGGGGCCCAAAUUCCUACACUCGUGGUGUCGGAUGUAAGAGUGGGGGCACGAGCACUGUCCCUCACCAUCUACACAUGGGCUGCAACCACAGACACCUGCAGGGAGCCAGGAUCCGGAGAGCAGCUCCCAUCCUGCCUUGGCCCUGAGGCCGCCGACUAAGAAGGAGCCCGGUGCUACAGGGACCGUCACCUUUGCCUAUAGAUGAGAGAAGGCGGGCUCGGAACAGAAGGCGUCCGGCAAGCAAUGCGCGUUACAUGAGCAUUUCAGCAUCCCACUGAAGCAAAUUAGGGGUGAGCAUGCACCCCAAACAAUGGCAAUCGGGCCCACCGUCUAGCCACUAUUCGUGGCCCUGCCACGUCGGCCACUGGAGUGCCACUGCAGCUACUUAUGCCUUGUCUACACACCACCUGUGCAGCUAUUAACUUAACUGACUCACCAAGUCCUUGAAAUCAACUCACUUAAAAGAGAACUCCACACAUUGCAAUACUUCUCUCUUGAAAUGUUAAAAUUGCUUGUUGACGUAACUCCCAUUGCACGCCCAGUGGCAUAUCCCAACAUACCACCCUUUGGAAAAAUAUCGUCCUGACCCAGAACCGCUUGUCACACCGUCCUGUAAGCAUAAUGGGGGUGAAUAUUCAAGAACCAGUAAUGUCUGAGCAAAAUGCCAUCAGCUGCCCCGACACGGUGAAGGGGCCCCCCACAUAUCUCAUCAAUGGCAAACGCAAUUAGAAGACUUCUCAGUGAGUAAACAGGACACACCCCGUGCAGCCUCUCUCGGUCACUCAGCAGCCAACCGCACCCCCCGUCGGGCUGGGGGGAUGAGGGGUAGGGAUGUGUUCCUGGGGUCUUGAUCACCAGCCCUCUCUCCACAUGCCCCCUAGGCCAGUGGUUCUCAACCAGGGGCAGUGUUGACCCCACAGGACAUUUGGCCACGUCUAGGGACAUUUUUGGUUGUCACAACUGGGGAGGGGAGUGCAACUGGCACGUAGUGGGUAGAGGCGAGGGACACUGUUAAACAUCCUCCAAUGCAGAGGAUGCCCUCCUCCCCCAGCAACAAAGAAUUAUCUGGCCCAAAUGUCAAUAGUUCUGAGGUUGAGAAAGCCUGGUUUCUACACUCGAGGUCAGAGUUGAUGGGAAAGAUGUCGGGAAACCAGCCAGGCUCUCACCCCACGUCCUCUCCUUGCAGGAACUUGGCCUUCGUUAGCUGCCUCCAUUCACUCUCCUGAGAUUUCCUCUCUCUACGGGAGACCGGCCUGCAAACUGGGACUCGGUUUCCCCAGCUCCUCCUCCUUCCCGACCAGCCUUCCAACCACAACAGGAAACCAAUGGGGAUGAUGGAAAAAACCAAGAUGGCGACCACGCUUCUGAACUUCCAGGUCUGCAGCUCCCACUCCUGACAUGCAGGCAGAUGCUCUCACUGCCAUCUCACAGCGGAGGGUGCUGAGGGCAGCAGCAACAGCGUCACCUGGGAACUUGUUAGAAGGCGCACUAUCGGGGAGCGGGCCCAGCCCCCCAUCUCCACAAGCCCCAAGGGUGUGCAGAUGCUGGGGCACCCUGAAGACAUGUGCAGCGGGGGCGCCCACUGUCAGGUACUUCUACGUGGGAACCUCACAGUGAGGGUGAUUUUCCCAAGAGGAACCCAGGCCAGAGGAAUGGAGGCCAAGCUGGGUACCCUGAAACCGAGUGUCUCUGACGAGGACUCAGAGCCAGGACACGAGCCAUUCUCGGGGAACCAGCAUCCCACCUUCCUACCCACCCGUGGGAAAGGAGAUACAGGUUGUACAGUCCCCCUCGGGAGCAUACCAUCUGACCAGCCUUGCCUUGGUCACCAUCACUGAGGCUCCAAGGAGGCCACUCGUUUUCCACCCCAGGGGCCCCUGUCAGAGGCACCGUAAAACCACCUUCUCUAAAGAAGGGGGGGAGGCACUGGAACAUGGAAAGGAAAGAAAAACUGCGCAGAUGGAGAGGGGCUUUCCUACUCCUGGGCAUGUUUACUACUUCGGUUCCCAGAUGAAUACCUGGCACAGAAUUCACACUCCCAUCUGUCUCCUGGAGAGCAGAAGACCUCAGUGGGAGGGAAGCCACCGCGCAAUUCUUAACCUCUCUGCCGCUCAGUCUCUUUGUGAAAUGAGCAUAACGAUACUGGAGUGAAAAGACUCACGAAAAGGACCCAGCAAGGUACCUGGCACACAGGGUGUAGACUAGUGUUAUUAAGAAGAUAAUCGUGAUUCCCAUUGUCCCGCUGGGAAAAUGAAGGUAGAGGUAAGGCAGCUUGGCAGACGUUUACUGGAAUUUACGGGCCAAGCUGCGACUGGCCCCAUUUCUCCCAACUCCUGACCUCAAGGCCCUUCCACGGCACCCCUGGUUUGACCACCCCUGUGUCUGGCGGGGGCCCAGCUACACUCUGUCCCAGCCCACUCCCGUUCCAGUGGCUGGUGCAUUUCCUGCCGGACAGGAUUCAACUGGUAGGAGGUAACUGACAUGAAGCACUUUCCUAGAGCUGCAAUCUCACCCUGUGUUAUCUUUUUUAUGUUACACCAUCUCGCAAUCUUCAUUUCCCAGUGCCGCCCAGACCACCAGCCUGUUUGGGAGCCCUGGAAUUUAAUAACCCUCAGAGGUUAGUAAAUAGGGUUGCCAGAACACAAGCUCUUUGCACAGGAAUAUGCAAAGCAGCUCUGAUCCUGUAAAUAAAAGCAAUCAUUUAAAUGCAAACUGCAUCCUUGGCUGCCCUUUCCGGCUGGCCGGCUGGCUGGGUGAUUCCUCUCAGGCUGUAAUCCGGAGAAGAAAAUGUGACUAACUCAGAACCCCCAGGAAGCUCUCUGUGUAGAAGUGUUUGUGGGGCCGUGGGAUCUGGGUGGGGGCCGCUCAGGGUGGAAAGGACUGCGUCAAAGUGGGGAGAAGAGUUAAAAGCCCGAGCCACUCCUUGAGUGGGCUCCCAGGGCUGGCAAGGUUCAAAGCGUUCCCCGCAGGCUGGACAGGGACCCUCAGAGGCUGCCGGCGCCUGGCCAUCCACAGAGGCAGAAUGAAAGGGAAGUCCUUAUUGAGGUCAGAGGAGCUUUUAAAAAUCAGAUCCCGUGGCUUCCCACUCAAAACUCUCUAAGGGUUCACUGGCCCAAGGAGUAUACAACCUACAAUACUUUCCGUGGCCCAAAAG